CCUACGGGAGGCAGCAGUGAGGAAUAUUGGUCAAUGGACGGAAGUCUGAACCAGCCAUGCCGCGUGCAGGAAGACGGCUCUAUGAGUUGUAAACUGCUUUUGUACAAGGGUAAACCUGAAUACGUGUAUUCAGCUGAAUUUACUGUACGAAUAAGGAUCGGCCAACUCCGUGCCAGCAGCCGCGGUAAUACGGAGGAUCCAAGCGUUAUCCGGAUUUAUUUGGUUUAACGGGUGCGUAGGCGGAUUGAUAAGUUAGGGGUGAAAUGACCGAGCUUAACUCGGGAACUGCCUCUAAUACUGGUGAUCUAGAGAGUAGAUGCGGUAGGCGGAAUGUAUGGUGUAGCGGUGAAAUGCUUAGAGAUCAUACAGAACACCGAUUGCGAAGGCAGCUUACCAAUCUAUAUCUGACGUUGAGGCACGAAAGCGUGGGGAGCAAACAGGAUUAGAUACCCUAGUAGUC
This 460-nucleotide ribosomal RNA is filed under the name uncultured bacterium. Its description in RNAcentral is "partial 16S ribosomal RNA". It matches the Rfam family "Bacterial small subunit ribosomal RNA", at positions 338 to 795 of the family's 1533-position model. The record is from RNAcentral.